GACGAACGCUGGCGGCGUGCUUAACACAUGCAAGUCGAACGGAAAGGCCCUGCUUUUGUGGGGUGCUCGAGUGGCGAACGGGUGAGUAACACGUGAGUAACCUGCCCUUGACUUUGGGAUAACUUCAGGAAACUGGGGCUAAUACCGGAUAGGAGCUCCUGCUGCAUGGUGGGGGUUGGAAAGUUUCGGCGGUUGGGGAUGGACUCGCGGCUUAUCAGCUUGUUGGUGGGGUAGUGGCUUACCAAGGCUUUGACGGGUAGCCGGCCUGAGAGGGUGACCGGCCACAUUGGGACUGAGAUACGGCCCGGACUCCUACGGGAGGCAGCAGUGGGGAAUAUUGCACAAUGGGCGGAAGCCUGAUGCAGCAACGCCGCGUGCGGGAUGAAGGCCUUCGGGUUGUAAACCGCUUUCGCCUGUGACGAAGCGUGAGUGACGGUAAUGGGUAAAGAAGCACCGGCUAACUACGUG
RNAcentral lists this ribosomal RNA (468 nucleotides) under uncultured bacterium. RNAcentral describes it as "partial 16S ribosomal RNA". It matches the Rfam family "Bacterial small subunit ribosomal RNA", at positions 28 to 507 of the family's 1533-position model. The record is from RNAcentral.